Molecule: long non-coding RNA, 951 nt
Organism: Panthera uncia (snow leopard)
Lineage: Eukaryota; Metazoa; Chordata; Mammalia; Carnivora; Felidae
Exons: 2
Source: RefSeq, a predicted model, not a curated record
GACAGCUGCGGCUUCUCCUGAAGGACGCGGGCGCGGGUUCACCGUCAGACUCUGGUUGACCGGUCCGCUGACGCCCUGGAAAAGCUGAGACCCGAGAACCUGUUGUUCUCACUUGUCUGUUUUUCUGUAGACGUCGUUUCUACGUAUACUGUUAAAUCCGCAUGUUAGUCUGUGUGGUGACCACUGUGUGGUUAUAGAUUGCCAAAUGUAUUUAGUUCUGCGAAGAACUUUUACUGGGGAAAGGUUCUCAAAGCAGUUUGAGUCUCGAUUGUAAACUGAUGAGGUGGUCAUGUUUUUAUGCUUGGAAUUUCUCAGUGUUUUACAUUUUUCUGUUUCUGGGCAUUUGACUAUCUCUUAUGUGACCUAAUCACUGCUGGAAAGUCUGGGCCGAGGAAGACACCGUGUCGGUUGUCAAAGAGCAGAGUUGCUGAAGGAGUUGCGCCUGCUUCGCUGGAAAGUGCCACCAGAAAAGGGAUGGGAAGUGGUGGUGACAAGUUCAGAACUUGUCAUUUCUCUGUGACCCCAACAAGGCUUCCCUCUGAAAUUAAGUCGCAGUAUUUGGCGCAUGUAACGUGAACUCUUGGGAGGGCUUGGACAACCCAGCAGAGUCUGAUUUGUGGUUGUGUUCUUACAUUUUGUUUGUGGUCUGGCUUAAGGUUCAGCUUCACGGACAGCUCUCGGUAGUGCAUUUCCGGCUCUCUGAGGCCUGGAAAGAGGGAUGUGCCUUAAUGGUCCCAGGAAGGAGCUGUGGACUUAAACUGAACAGGGCCAGCACCGUUUCGUGGGCUGUUAAUUGUCUGGUUACGCUCAUUUGAGUAGCACACACACCCCCACCCCCCGUCCAUUUGAGGUUAAAACAACGUAUGUAAUAAGCAUUUGUAAGUUUGCCCAAAUAAACCAAAGCCCUGCAACUUUGCCAGGAAACAGAUAAUAAAAAACGUUUCUCAGGGU